This 459-nucleotide ribosomal RNA is filed under the name uncultured bacterium. RNAcentral describes it as "partial 16S ribosomal RNA". It matches the Rfam family "Bacterial small subunit ribosomal RNA", at positions 338 to 795 of the family's 1533-position model. The record is from RNAcentral.
CCUACGGGAGGCUGCAGUGAGGAAUAUUGGUCAAUGGCCGAAAGGCUGAACCAGCCAAGCCGCGUGCGGGAAGACGGCCCUACGGGUUGUAAACCUCUUUUGUCGGGGAGCAAAGCGAGUCACGUGUGACUCAUUGAGAGUAACCGAAGAAAAAGCAUCGGCUAACUCCGUGCCAGCAGCCGCGGUAAUACGGAGGAUGCGAGCGUUAUCCGGAUUUAUUGGGUUUAAAGGGUGCGCAGGCGGAGGUGCAAGUCAGCGGUCAAAUUCCGGGGCUCAACCCCGUACUGCCGUUGAAACUGCAUGCCUUGAGUGCGCGAGAAGUAUGCGGAAUGCGUGGUGUAGCGGUGAAAUGCAUAGAUAUCACGCAGAACUCCGAUUGCGAAGGCAGCAUACCGGCGCGCAACUGACGCUCAUGCACGAAAGCGUGGGUAUCGAACAGGAUUAGAUACCCCUGUAGUC